This 72-nucleotide transfer RNA is filed under the name Dipodomys ordii (Ord's kangaroo rat). It matches the Rfam family "tRNA". Rfam says of the family: Transfer RNA (tRNA) molecules are approximately 80 nucleotides in length. Their secondary structure includes four short double-helical elements and three loops (D, anti-codon, and T loops). Lineage: Eukaryota; Metazoa; Chordata; Mammalia; Rodentia; Heteromyidae. The record is from Rfam by way of RNAcentral.
CUGGGAAUGGCUCAGUGGUAGAGUGCUUGCCUUGCAUGCAUGAGGCCCUGGGUUCGAUUCCUUAGUACCACA